AACGAACGCUGGCGGCAUGCCUAACACAUGCAAGUCGAACGAGACCUUCGGGUCUAGUGGCGCACGGGUGCGUAACGCGUGGGAACCUGCCCUUAGGUUCGGAAUAACUCCCCGAAAGGGGUGCUAAUACCGGAUAAUGUCUUCGGACCAAAGAUUUAUCGCCUUUGGGUGGGCCCGCGUUGGAUUAGCUAGUUGGUAGGGUAAAAGCCUACCAAGGCGACGAUCCAUAGCUGGUCUGAGAGGAUGAUCAGCCACACUUGGACUGCGACACGGCCCAGACUCCUACGGGAGGCAGCAGUGGGGAAUAUUGGACAAUGGGCGAAAGCCUGAUCCAGCAAUGCCGCGUGAGUGAUGAAGGCCUUAGGGUUGUAAAGCUCUUUUACCCGGGAUGAUAAUGACAGUACCGGGAGAAUAAGCUCCGGCUAACUCCGUG
RNAcentral lists this ribosomal RNA (433 nucleotides) under uncultured bacterium. RNAcentral's name for it is "partial 16S ribosomal RNA". It matches the Rfam family "Bacterial small subunit ribosomal RNA", at positions 29 to 507 of the family's 1533-position model. The record is from RNAcentral.